This 257-nucleotide ribosomal RNA is filed under the name uncultured bacterium. RNAcentral's name for it is "partial 16S ribosomal RNA". It matches the Rfam family "Bacterial small subunit ribosomal RNA", at positions 57 to 305 of the family's 1533-position model. The record is from RNAcentral.
GCAAGUCGAGGGGCAUCAUGAACUUAGCUUGCUAAGUUUGAUGGCGACCGGCGCACGGGUGACUAACGCGUAUCCUACCUUCCCAUGACUUCGGGAUAGCCCGGUGAAAACCGGAUUAAUACCGCAUGGUGUCCCUUGACGGCAUCCGACAGGGACUAAAGUUUUUUCGGCCAUGGAUGAGGAUGCGUCCGAUUAGCUUGUUGGCGGGGUAACGGCCCACCAAGGCUACGAUCGGUAGGGGUUCUGAGAGGAAGGUC